GGACUACUGGGGUUUCUAAUCCCGUUUGCUCCCCUGGCCUUCGUGCAUGAGCGUCAGGUAAUGCCCAGAGAUUCGCCUUCGCCACUGGUCUUCCUCACGAUAUCUACGCAUUUCACUGCUACACCGUGAAUUCCAAUCUCCUCUACAUACCUCUAGCGGAGCAGUAUCGAAUGCAGUUUAGGGGUUGAGCCCCUAAAUUUCACAUCCGACUUACCCCACAGCCUGCGCACCCUUUACGCCCAAUGAAUCCGAACAACGCUUGAGACCUCUGUAUUACCGCGGCUGCUGGCAC
RNAcentral lists this ribosomal RNA (292 nucleotides) under uncultured Verrucomicrobiota bacterium. RNAcentral's name for it is "uncultured Verrucomicrobia bacterium partial 16S ribosomal RNA". The record is from RNAcentral. Lineage: Bacteria; Pseudomonadati; Verrucomicrobiota.